CGUGUGCUUGCGGAUCAAUUCCUUAUUGCGUUCCCAAAUAUCAACAGCCUUGCGAUUACCUAGAAUUGCACCCAAUCCUGCGGAUUGUUGUGGUAGCCUUAGGGUAGUGACAGCCCUAAUGGUCGACGUAUUCCACCUCGUUCAGAUCGGUGUUUGUAGGACCGUAGUCAGAGCUUCCUAGCCCCCUUCUCAUCUCUUUCUGU
This 203-nucleotide long non-coding RNA is filed under the name Sorghum bicolor (sorghum). RNAcentral's name for it is "long non-coding RNA (SBIC_LNC014604)". The record is from RNAcentral. Lineage: Eukaryota; Viridiplantae; Streptophyta; Magnoliopsida; Poales; Poaceae.